RNAcentral lists this ribosomal RNA (253 nucleotides) under uncultured bacterium. RNAcentral's name for it is "partial 16S ribosomal RNA". It matches the Rfam family "Bacterial small subunit ribosomal RNA", at positions 524 to 776 of the family's 1533-position model. The record is from RNAcentral.
UACGGAGGACCCAAGCGUUAUUCGGAUUUAUUGGGUUUAAAGGGUGCGUAGGCGGAUUAGUAAGUCAGAGGUGAAAUCCCACAGCUUAACUGUGGAACUGCCUUUGAUACUGCUAACCUUGAGUACAGAUGAUGUGGGCGGAAUAUGACAUGUAGCGGUGAAAUGCUUAGAUAUGUCAUAGAACACCGAUUGCGAAGGCAGCUCACAAAACUGUAACUGACGCUGAGGCACGAAAGCAUGGGGAUCGAACAGG